AAGGAUCAUUCAUAAUAAGUGUUUUAUGGCACUUUUUAAGUCCAUAUCCACCUUGUGUGCAAUGUCAGUCGAUCUUCUUCAUGGAGAUCGACCAAACAUCAACCUUUAUUUUUUAACUCUUUGUCUGAAAAAUAUUAUGAAUAAACAAUUCAAAAUACAACUUUCAACAACGGAUCUCUUGGCUCUCGCAUCGAUGAAGAACGCAGCGAAAUGCGAUACGUAAUGUGAAUUGCAGAAUUCAGUGAAUCAUCGAAUCUUUGAACGCAUAUUGCGCUCUUUGGUAUUCCGAAGAGCAUGCUUGUUUGAGUAUCAGUAAACACCUCAAAGCUUUUGGAUUUUUUAAUCGAAAAGCUUUGGACUUGAGCAAUCCCAACACCAAUCUUUUUGAGAUCGGUGGCGGGUUGCUUGAAAUGCAGGUGCAGCUGGACAUUCUCCUGAGCUAAAAGCAUAUUCAUUUAGUCCCGUCAAACGGAUUAUUACUUUUGCUGCAGCUAACAUAAAGGGAGUUUGACCGUAUUGGCUGACUGAUGCAGGGUUUCACAAGGGUCGGCAACGAUUCUUGUUAAACUCGAUCUCAAAUCAAGUAAGACUACCCGCUGAACUUAA
RNAcentral lists this ribosomal RNA (606 nucleotides) under uncultured fungus. Its description in RNAcentral is "eukaryotic LSU rRNA". The stretch from base 159 to 312 matches the Rfam family "5.8S ribosomal RNA". The record is from RNAcentral. Lineage: Eukaryota; Fungi.